Molecule: ribosomal RNA, 414 nt
Filed under: Pseudomonas sp. LL35
Lineage: Bacteria; Pseudomonadati; Pseudomonadota; Gammaproteobacteria; Pseudomonadales; Pseudomonadaceae
Description: bacterial SSU rRNA
Rfam family: Bacterial small subunit ribosomal RNA
Source: RNAcentral
UGCAAGUCGAGCGGCAGCACGGGUACUUGUACCUGGUGGCGAGCGGCGGACGGGUGAGUAAUGCCUAGGAAUCUGCCUGGUAGUGGGGGAUAACGCUCGGAAACGGACGCUAAUACCGCAUACGUCCUACGGGAGAAAGCAGGGGACCUUCGGGCCUUGCGCUAUCAGAUGAGCCUAGGUCGGAUUAGCUAGUUGGUGAGGUAAUGGCUCACCAAGGCGACGAUCCGUAACUGGUCUGAGAGGAUGAUCAGUCACACUGGAACUGAGACACGGUCCAGACUCCUACGGGAGGCAGCAGUGGGGAAUAUUGGACAAUGGGCGAAAGCCUGAUCCAGCCAUGCCGCGUGUGUGAAGAAGGUCUUCGGAUUGUAAAGCACUUUAAGUUGGGAGGAAGGGCAUUUACCUAAUACUUAA